AACACAGCGCAACUCGGCGCUGCGCGGGUGCGCAUCCCUCUGCCCCUCUCAUCCCUCCGCGCAGCCUCAGCGCCGCGGAGCCGGGGACGCCCGUCUCCUGAGAACAUUUUUUUCUGAGUGAUUCCAGCUUCCAGACAUUUGCCAUGAUAAGGGUUUCGAUCCUUUCCCAUAUUUGCCCUGAGUCAUGAGUGGAUAUGUGUGAUGCCUGCAAGUAAAACUGGAAGCUUAAAAUCAAAUUUGGCAGAGCUUACAAGGGCAGCGAACGCGGAGCCACUUGACUCUGGAGAAAGGCAGUGACAGUGCAGAGCUCUGAAGCUCUCCAAUGCAUGUGCCGCCUGGGAUGGGGAGCAGAGCCAGCAGAACUCUACCAUGGUGACUUUCCCUCCUGAAACCAGCAGCAUAUUUGUUCUUCUUUUUAACAAAACUACCUGAGAAGUUGAAGUGUUUCCUUCCUUCUGAAUGC
This 463-nucleotide long non-coding RNA is filed under the name Coturnix japonica (Japanese quail). RNAcentral's name for it is "lncRNA (ENSCJPG00005018650.1)". Lineage: Eukaryota; Metazoa; Chordata; Aves; Galliformes; Phasianidae. The record is from RNAcentral.